GCCCGGGUAGCUCAGUCGGCAGAGCAGCUCACUCGUAAUGAGCAGGUCAGGGGUUCGAAUCCCCUCUCGGGCUCCA
RNAcentral lists this transfer RNA (76 nucleotides) under Acidimicrobiales bacterium. Its description in RNAcentral is "tRNA-Thr". It matches the Rfam family "tRNA". From Rfam's summary of the family: Transfer RNA (tRNA) molecules are approximately 80 nucleotides in length. Their secondary structure includes four short double-helical elements and three loops (D, anti-codon, and T loops). Further hydrogen bonds mediate the characteristic L-shaped molecular structure. tRNAs have two regions of fundamental functional importance: the anti-codon, which is responsible for specific mRNA codon recognition, and the 3' end, to which the tRNAs corresponding amino acid is attached (by aminoacyl-tRNA synthetases). tRNAs cope with the degeneracy of the genetic code in two manners: having more than one tRNA (with a specific anti-codon) for a particular amino acid; and 'wobble' base-pairing, i.e. permitting non-standard base-pairing at the 3rd anti-codon position. The record is from RNAcentral. RNAcentral also lists the same sequence under 2 other names. Lineage: Bacteria; Bacillati; Actinomycetota; Acidimicrobiia; Acidimicrobiales.